GGUCCGAUGAACUAUAAUGUUGGAUCUGGCCUGCCCAGUGAUUGAUUUUUAAUGGCCGCAGUAUUUUGACUGUGCAAAGGUAGCAUAAUCAUUAGUCCUUUAAUUGGGGUCUGGUAUGAAGGGUUGAACGAGGGAGGGACUGUCUAGUUAUUAUGUGUUGAAAUUUUAUUUUUGGGUGAAAAAGCUCAAAUGAUCUUGGGGGACGAUAAGACCCUAUAGAGCUUUACAUUUUGCGGCUUAAAGUGAGGUUAAAGUGUGCGGAGUGUUUUGUUGGGGUGACGGGGAGAUAAGAUAAACUCUCUUAUAUUAAGGUUACUGAUUGGUAUUGGUUUGAUCCGUUGACUAGCGAUAAUUGGAUUAAGUUACCUUAGGGAUAACAGCGUAAUCCUUCUUGAGAGUUCAUAUCGACAGGAGGGGUUGCGACCUCGAUGUUGGAUUAAGAGAUUGUAAUGGUGCAGGAGCUGUUAUGGAGGGUCUGUUCGACCCUUAAUUUCUUACA
Molecule: ribosomal RNA, 499 nt
Filed under: Cubacubana ramosi
Lineage: Eukaryota; Metazoa; Arthropoda; Insecta; Zygentoma; Nicoletiidae
Description: partial 16S ribosomal RNA
Rfam family: Bacterial large subunit ribosomal RNA
Source: RNAcentral